RNAcentral lists this long non-coding RNA (895 nucleotides) under Equus asinus (donkey). RNAcentral's name for it is "lncRNA (ENSEASG00005031021.1)". Lineage: Eukaryota; Metazoa; Chordata; Mammalia; Perissodactyla; Equidae. The record is from RNAcentral.
CCGGAGGUGGGCUCUGAGCCCUUCUCCCAGAGACAGCAAGGAGAGGGAGCUGCUUUCCUGCCAGGAAGCCCCUAGGCGCUGUCCGAGACAGGUGGUAGGAGGACUAAGGAGGCUGUUCUUGCCAAGCUGGGCCCCAGGCCCCUGAGGCUGGGAAUCUGUUGCCAUCCAGACCCUGCUGAAGUCUAUGCUCAAGGAGCAGCCAUGGCCAGCACUUCAAGUGUGGCCAUCUAUACCUGCACCAGACGGUCUGUUAAUUAGUGCUGGAGUGUCAGAAGUCAUCGCUUUUCAGUGAAAAGAGUGUCGCUGAAGAUGUGUGCUUGGCAAGCAAUACCACACAGGCAUCUCCGCCGGUGCCUAAAGGAGGCCUGCACCCCAGCAGAGCAGAGCCCUGGGUCCAUACCUGCCUCUAAUCGGCCCUGGGCGUCCCCACGCAAUGAUCUGACUGGAAGGUUGGCCAGUCCUUGGUCAACAUGCCCUUGAAUUGACCCAGAGAGAGCUUUCCUGCGAAGGAUGGAGAAUGGGGCUCCCCGGGGCACCUGGGCAGUGGUGGGAGGUCUUUUUUUGUGCUUCUUUGGAAGAGAUGCUGUAAGUGGGGUAGCAUUGAUUUCAUGGUAACAUGCCAGCUGGCGAGGAGGUAUGGGGUGAGCCUACUGUCCUCACCUACCUCUGGGCCUCGGAGGCCACCAUAUCCACGGCAGAGAACCUGACCUGCCCUGUCGGGCACCCUGGGAGGGGCUGCCCAGUCAAGGGAGCAGCUGUGCAAACUGGCAGUGGAGGAGCCCCUACAGGCAGACUCUGCCCCCCCAGUUCCAGGGGAAGACAUUUCCUGGGGGUGGGCCCUCCCUUUAAUAGGUGAGAGGAAAAGAAGGAGGCCAAGAAGGAGAGAGCAGAGAGG